CGGUGGAGGUAUGUGGUUUAAUUCGAUGCAACGCGAAGAACCUUACCUGGUCUUGACAUCCCGGAGACCCUUAGGAAACUAGGGGGUGGCUUCCAUCUGGAAGAAUCUGGAGACAGGUGCUGCAUGGCUGUCGUCAGCUCGUGUCGUGAGAUGUUGGGUUAAGUCCCGCAACGAGCGCAACCCUUGCCUUUAGUUGCCAGCAGUUCGGCUGGGCACUCUAAAGGGACUGCCGGUGUUAAACCGGAGGAAGGUGGGGAUGACGUCAAGUCCUCAUGGCCUUUAUGACCAGGGCUACACACGUACUACAAUGGCCGAUACAAAGGGCAGCGACACUGCGAGGUGAAGCCAAUCCCGUAAAAUCGGUCUCAGUCCGGAUUGGAGUCUGCAACUCGACUCCAUGAAGUUGGAAUCGCUAGUAAUCGUGGAUCAGCAUGCCACGGUGAAUACGUUCCCGGGCCUU
RNAcentral lists this ribosomal RNA (460 nucleotides) under uncultured Desulfobulbus sp. RNAcentral's name for it is "bacterial SSU rRNA". It matches the Rfam family "Bacterial small subunit ribosomal RNA", at positions 930 to 1382 of the family's 1533-position model. Lineage: Bacteria; Pseudomonadati; Thermodesulfobacteriota; Desulfobulbia; Desulfobulbales; Desulfobulbaceae. The record is from RNAcentral.